ACAUCUCAACCUAGUUAAGGCUAUAUUAUAUAGAAGUGUUUAGAGUAGUAAUAAAAAUAGAAGUAAUAAUACUUAUACUAUUAGAAACAUAGACAGCUUUAUCGCAUUAUAUUAUAAUUUUAUUAGUAGCUAAAUUACUAUUCUUCCAUUUAUAUCUUUCGCCAUAAGGUCUAUUCUAAGGUCUACUAGUAGCUAUAUUACCGCCUUGGCUCUUCUUAAAGCUGCCUAGUAUAAUACUAUCUUCUUAUUAUUUUUCUUCGCCUUAAGGUCUACUCUAAGGUCUACUAGUAGGGUGAGAAUCCCGUACGUGGUCGCUAGCUAUUGCCGUGUAAAGCCCCUUCGACGAGUCGAGUUGUUUGGGAAUGCAGCUCUAAAUGGGAGGUAAAUUUCUUCUAAAGCUAAAUAUUGGCCAGAGACCGAUAGCGCACAAGUAGAGUGAUCGAAAGAUGAAAAGCACUUUGGAAAGAGAGUCAAACAGCACGUGAAAUUGUUAGAAAGGGAAGCGCUUGCAGCCAGACUUGCUUGCAGUUGCUCAUCCGGGCUUUUGCCCGGUGCACUCUUCUGUAGGCAGGCCAGC
Molecule: non-coding RNA, 577 nt
Filed under: Bipolaris sorokiniana ND90Pr
Lineage: Eukaryota; Fungi; Ascomycota; Dothideomycetes; Pleosporales; Pleosporaceae
Description: Eukaryotic large subunit ribosomal RNA
Rfam family: Eukaryotic large subunit ribosomal RNA
Source: Rfam by way of RNAcentral